RNAcentral lists this long non-coding RNA (152 nucleotides) under Chinchilla lanigera (long-tailed chinchilla). RNAcentral describes it as "lncRNA (ENSCLAG00000028610.1)". The record is from RNAcentral. Lineage: Eukaryota; Metazoa; Chordata; Mammalia; Rodentia; Chinchillidae.
CGACAGCAGAAAUUCCUGAAUGCAUAAAAAUACGCAGAAGGUGUGAGAGAUCACUACCACUGGUGUUAUUCAGCAUCUUCAUAAACCUACUGUGUUUCCUGGCUACUUCAAGGCACUCUCGUUAAAAAGCAUUUCACCACAGCAACUGCCUG